This 88-nucleotide transfer RNA is filed under the name Elusimicrobiota bacterium. RNAcentral describes it as "Elusimicrobia bacterium (hot springs metagenome) tRNA-Ser". It matches the Rfam family "tRNA". From Rfam's summary of the family: Transfer RNA (tRNA) molecules are approximately 80 nucleotides in length. Their secondary structure includes four short double-helical elements and three loops (D, anti-codon, and T loops). Lineage: Bacteria; Pseudomonadati; Elusimicrobiota. The record is from RNAcentral.
GGAAGGGUGGCUGAGCGGUUGAAAGCGCCGGUCUUGAAAACCGGUAGGCGGCUUAUCCGUCUCGUGGGUUCGAAUCCCACCCCUUCCG